GCCUUGGUCGUCUAGUGGUCUAGGAUACAGGCUUGUCGAGCCUGUAACCCGGGUUCGAAUCCCGGCCAAGGCG
RNAcentral lists this transfer RNA (73 nucleotides) under Microcaldota archaeon. RNAcentral describes it as "tRNA-Asp". It matches the Rfam family "tRNA". From Rfam's summary of the family: Transfer RNA (tRNA) molecules are approximately 80 nucleotides in length. Their secondary structure includes four short double-helical elements and three loops (D, anti-codon, and T loops). The record is from RNAcentral. Lineage: Archaea; Nanobdellati; Microcaldota.